AGGACUAACGCUGGCGGCGUGCCUAACACAUGCAAGUCGAACGAAGUAGCAAUACUUAGUGGCAGACGGGUGAGUAACACGUAGUCAACCUGCCCUUCAAUGGGGGAUAACUAGCCGAAAGGUUAGCUAAAUACCGCAUAACACCUACGGGUCAAAGGAGCAAUUCGCUUCAGGAGGGGUCGCGGCAGAUUAGAUAGUUGGCGGGUAAUGGCCCACCAAGUCAGUGAUCUGUAU
RNAcentral lists this ribosomal RNA (234 nucleotides) under uncultured bacterium. RNAcentral's name for it is "partial small subunit ribosomal RNA". It matches the Rfam family "Bacterial small subunit ribosomal RNA", at positions 26 to 286 of the family's 1533-position model. The record is from RNAcentral.